UGAGUAACCUGCCCUUAACUCUGGGAUAAGCCUGGGGAAACUGGGUCUAAUACCGGAUAUGACUCCUCAUCGCAUGGUGGGGGGUUGGAAAGCUUUAUUGUGGUUUUGGAUGGACUCGCGGCCUAUCAGCUUGUUGGUGAGGUAAUGGCUCACCAAGGCGACGACGGGUAGCCGGCCUGAGAGGGUGACCGGCCACACUGGGACUGAGACACGGCCCAGACUCCGUACGGGAGGCAG
This 237-nucleotide ribosomal RNA is filed under the name uncultured bacterium. RNAcentral's name for it is "partial 16S ribosomal RNA". It matches the Rfam family "Bacterial small subunit ribosomal RNA", at positions 118 to 351 of the family's 1533-position model. The record is from RNAcentral.